GCCCCCCAGCUCAGGGCUGGUGUCCUUGCCCCACAGAAAAUUGAUCUGCAACUGCCUGGGGCCAGCCCAGAGUUGAACAGAUUUAAAUCUUUUCUUAACCCUUUCUUCUGAUGUCCUCCUGUCCUUGCACACCGGAGGCAGUACCUUUUUCACCUUCCACUUAGUUUCUGCCUUCAGGCUCCUUAUCUGCAACUACAUAAAUGCCUGAAUGCACAGAAUCUCUUCCACAGACUCUUCCUCGGACAAAACCAACUCCAGUUGGAGUUGUAAACUAAUCCAGAUUGUAAACUAACCCAGAAAACCAUUCAAAGUCCAGGUUGUGUUACAGUAAAACCUCUUUCUCUUACACAGGCUCAUAUCUAUAGGUGACCAUUCAGAUCUUUCUUCCCAAGAGACUACCAGUAAGAUCGACACUGCAUAGCCCAUGUAUUAAAGGGUAUAAACCUGUAAGAUGGCCCUUUCAGCCAAGAUCUUUCCCAAGAGACUACCUAUAGGAUCAAUAUAACACUGCCCAUGCCUUAAAGGACCAAUAAGAGAUCUCUGGCUACUACUUAUAGGUGGCCCUUUCUUCUACUUACUUUAUCUUUGACAGACAAACUCCAACUGAAAGAUUGUCUGCAAGAUUGUACAAAAAAGUAACUCAGAGACAGAUAACCAGAGAGGAUCCCCAAACACAGACUACAGAUGGGAACUUUUAAGACAGACCAGCCAAGAUCUUUCCCAAGAGACUACCUAUGAGAUCAAUUCAGCAUUGCUCAUGUCUUAAAAGGGGCAGUAACAGAUAAAAACAAAAACACAACCAAAGGAAAUUCCCAUACUCCAGGUCAAACAGAUGUGAACCUAGAACAAACCGGAAGUGAGUAAGUUCUCAACUCUUGACUUAACUGAGACUCCUACAACAGCAGUGCCACAGAUGUCCCCACAAAGAGGAACCAGAUGUUCCCCAAAACAGAAACCAGAUGUGUGGAAUCAAGGGUCUCAAGUGCACAUGGG
RNAcentral lists this long non-coding RNA (993 nucleotides) under Marmota monax (woodchuck). Lineage: Eukaryota; Metazoa; Chordata; Mammalia; Rodentia; Sciuridae. The record is from RNAcentral.